Molecule: non-coding RNA, 797 nt
Organism: Pimephales promelas (fathead minnow)
Lineage: Eukaryota; Metazoa; Chordata; Actinopteri; Cypriniformes; Leuciscidae
Source: RefSeq, a predicted model, not a curated record
UUGUCACAGACGUACUCCUUCCAGCGCUUUAAUUAGCCUUCAUGAGUGUCCAUGUGCUGGAAGACUUCCACUCUGGAAAACCAGCCUCUUUCACACACGUUUUGGGCCGCUGCACCUCCUUCGGUCAUGCCGAAACUAACGUUACAAGCAACGGUAGUUUGAAAGUCAGGCUGAUAUCUUUUUCUUCGUUGCUGCCAGUGAGGGUCUGCGCGAGGGGGAGCAUUAGCAUAGCGAGCGUCGGAGGUGCCCGGAGUGUCAGGAGGAGGGGGAAUCUGGCGAAUCUCGGCGGAUAGAAGUGAACACGCAUUAUAGAAUGUACAAUAACAUCCGCUGUGUUUCUUCAGGGUGACGUGCCGCUGAAAUGUGAGACCUCCGAUGAUCUGAACACUCUGAUGUUAAAAAUAGAGGUCUCAGUGAAUCAAUUGGUGUUUCGGUGAUUUGGAAGUGUGACUCAGGAGUCCAAGCCGAGGAACAGUUUACGAGCAUCCGAUGCCCUCUGACCGAUCGGGAUGUGCAACUGGAAAUGAAAUUGUGUUACUGAGGCUGUGAGCGUUUCUGAGGAACAACUAGUCACUGGAUUCGCCAGUUUACCAGAAAUCUCCUGUUCCCAUGGGUCUUUCUGCAAUGUUUGUCAGACCUAGCAACUGUAACCGAGGGGGGCGGAGCUCAGCAAAUAUUCUCUUGAUUUAUUGCAUGUAGAGAGCGAUGAUGAUAAAGCGCUCUGGCUUGGCAGACAGCUCAUCUUGGGAAGCGUGUAAACUGUCAGAUGAAGUUGUAAUGGAGGAAGGCCUCCGCUG